CCUACGGGAGGCAGCAGUGGGGGAUAUUGCACAAUGGGGGGAACCCUGAUGCAGCGACGCCGCGUGGGUGAAGAAGCGCCUCGGCGCGUAAAGCCCUGUCAGCAGGGAAGAAAAUGAUGGUACCUGAAGAAGAAGCCCCGGCUAAAUACGUGCCAGCAGCCGCGGUAAUACGUAGGGGGCAAGCGUUAUCCGGAUUUACUGGGUGUAAAGGGGGCGCAGACGGCGAUGCAAGCCAGGAGUGAAAGCCCGGGGGCCAACCCCGGGAGUGCUCUUGGAACUGCGUGGCUGGAGUGCAGGAGGGGCAGGCGGAAUUCCUGGUGUAGCGGUGAAAUGCGUAGAUAUAAGGAGGAACACCGGUGGCGAAGGCGGCCUGCUGGACUGCAACUGACGUUGAGGCCCGAAAGCGUGGGGAGCAAACAGGAUUAGAUACCCCAGUAGUC
This 440-nucleotide ribosomal RNA is filed under the name uncultured bacterium. RNAcentral describes it as "partial 16S ribosomal RNA". It matches the Rfam family "Bacterial small subunit ribosomal RNA", at positions 338 to 795 of the family's 1533-position model. The record is from RNAcentral.